GGAAUAAGGUCGAGGCGGAGAGCCAGAGCCCCAGCACCCGAUCCGCCGUCCCGCCGCCGCAGGAAGGACGCGGAGUGGAGGGACUGGGCGGCGCUGCCCCGCGACGUCCUGUGGGUCAUCCUGAGCCUUGUCCCGCAAGCCGACGUCCUCCGCGGUGCCGGCCGCGCGUGCGCCUCGUGGCGGCGGCUGGCCCUCGACGAGCCGCUGCUAUGGCGGCAUAUCGACCUCGCCGCUGACGAGGACGCGGACCCAGACCCACCGUCGGGCUGGCAGGCGAUGGCGCGUGCCGCCGUGCGGCGCAGCGCCGGCCGCUGCGAGUCCUUCCGCGGCCGCGUCAGCAGCACCUUCCUGCUCUUCCUCGCCCGCAAGUACGCACGCACGCGAGCCGAUCGAUCGUAUGAACCUCUCCUAAACCCGAGAUCCCGACUGAUAAUCCGCCAUGUUUCUUAUCAACAGGGCGCCAUUGCUGCGGAGCCUCCACGUGACGUGCUGGUACGACAUGGCGAGCAGGCACUUCAUCCACGCGGUGGCGAAGAAGCUCCCUGA
Molecule: ribosomal RNA, 546 nt
Filed under: Triticum aestivum (bread wheat)
Lineage: Eukaryota; Viridiplantae; Streptophyta; Magnoliopsida; Poales; Poaceae
Description: partial small subunit ribosomal RNA
Source: RNAcentral